ACAGGGGAGGGACUUCAGAGCUGGGCCUGCGCCUGCGGGGCCGUACGAGUUGGCCCGGAGCAAGGCGGCCCAGGACAGGCAGGGGCUGCACGCGGUGAAGAAACCAAGACGCAGAGAGGCCAAGCCCCUUGCCUUGGGUCACACAGCCAAAGGAGGCAGAGCCAGAACUCACAACCAGAUCCAGAGGCAACAGGGACAUGGCCACCUGGGACGAAAAGGUAAUGGAUUCUGUGGUCUUGCAGCAUUAGAGGAUAUCCCAGCCUUGAGAGGAUAAUUCUGUUUGGUGUUUCAAACAGGAGAGGGAGAACUCCCUGUUCAGGUGUUUCCACUAUACUGAAAUAUUUAAAAUCAAAAUGAUGAAAAGCUGUAAAAGGACUUCACAAAACCUCCAAGUAGCCUGAUAUUCCACAUCAGACCAUUUGAAUCCCAGCCCUGUAUGUUAAUAACUAUGUGCGGUUUUUUUUGUUUUUUUUUUUUUGAGAUGGAGUUUCACUCUUGUUUCCCAGGCUGGAGUGCAAUGGUGCAAUCUCAGCUCACCAGAACUUCUGCCCCCCAGGGUUCAAGCGAUUUUCCUGCCUCAGCCUCCCAAGUAGCUGGGAUUACAGGCAUGCACCACCACACCUGGCUAACUUUGUAUUUUUAGUAGAGAUGGGGUUUCUGCAUGUGGGUCAGGCUGGUCUCGAACAGUGCAUGUUAAUAACUAUGUGUCCUUAGGCACAAAAUAACUGUGUGCCCUUCAAUUCCCUGAGCCUCAGUUUCCUUAUCUGGAAAAUAGUGAAAAGAUUAUU
RNAcentral lists this long non-coding RNA (788 nucleotides) under Homo sapiens (human). RNAcentral's name for it is "non-protein coding lnc-PPP1CC-2:1". The record is from RNAcentral. Lineage: Eukaryota; Metazoa; Chordata; Mammalia; Primates; Hominidae.